RNAcentral lists this ribosomal RNA (479 nucleotides) under uncultured Pseudonocardia sp. Its description in RNAcentral is "bacterial SSU rRNA". It matches the Rfam family "Bacterial small subunit ribosomal RNA", at positions 28 to 526 of the family's 1533-position model. Lineage: Bacteria; Bacillati; Actinomycetota; Actinomycetes; Pseudonocardiales; Pseudonocardiaceae. The record is from RNAcentral.
GACGAACGCUGGCGGCGUGCUUAACACAUGCAAGUCGAACGCGCCUGCUUUGGUGGGUGAGUGGCGAACGGGUGAGUAACACGUGGGUGACCUGCCCCCUACUCUGGGAUAAGCCUGGGAAACUGGGUCUAAUUCCGGAUAUGACUCAUGGCUGCAUGGUUGUGGGUGGAAAGUUUUUGCGGUGGGGGAUGGGCCUGCGGCCUAUCAGCUUGUUGGUGGGGUGAUGGCUUACCAAGGCGACGACGGGUAGCCGGCCUGAGAGGGCGACCGGCCACACUGGGACUGAGACACGGCCCAGACUCCUACGGGAGGCAGCAGUGGGGAAUAUUGCGCAAUGGGCGGAAGCCUGACGCAGCGACGCCGCGUGGGGGAUGACGGCCUUCGGGUUGUAAACCUCUUUCGCCAUCGACGAAGCCUUUGGGUGACGGUAGGUGGAGAAGAAGCACCGGCCAACUACGUGCCAGCCGCCGCAGUAAGAC